GGGCAUCUUGCUGGCUAUCCCUGCAUACCUGAGGUCAUCUGAAGACUGAUGUCUGUUCUCUCCACUAAACAUUCCUUCAGUCAGUAUUUUGACAAUAUGUUGAUCUCAGAUGGGAAGAAACCCUCCCACCGUGGUUGUAAAGAAGAAGGACUGUAGAAAACAGGGAGAGCUUGGGCCAUAUGAAUGUCAGUGGGUUACAGGGAAGCCAACACAACUCACAACUCAACGGUGAAGACCCAUCAUCUCAUUCACACAGCCUCCGGCUGCUGAGGGAUUUCCUUCUGCAAGCCUCACUGCAGGUGAAGACCUCAUAACAACGUUUGCAGGGUGACAGCUGGACACCAACAGAACGUCCGCACUGAUAGCAGUAUUUGAAGAUGGGCAGCCUGGAACAAGGGUAGUUGUCAAACAAAGUACAUUAUUGCUCUUUUUAGCCUUAUUCCUGAUUAUUAUUCUAAAGUUGGAAUACAAAACGAAGAGUACUUGGACUAAGGGUGCUGGUGGGACUGGGAAGCAGACUGUUAGAUCUAACUGCAAGCUGGGCUCUGCUCUUACAAGUUUUUUUAAGAAUUUAGGAACUCUUUACAGCACAGAACUCCUUAGCAUGCCCUGUCCAAGCCAAAUAGUUCUAUGCUUACGAAAUCUGACAGGAUUAGAUGUAAGACAAAGCCAAAGGCUACUCAUGCAAAACCAUCAUUCUUGUGAUACAAUUGUUAUUUUCUUAAAAGCUAAGAUACAUCUGAAUACUUCAUAGCUUUCACAGGCAAUACUGAAUAAAUUUUAUAUGCUACCAAA
This is a long non-coding RNA of Gallus gallus (chicken), 795 nucleotides long. RefSeq lists it as uncharacterized. The record is from RefSeq and is a predicted model, not a curated record. The transcript is spliced from 4 exons. Lineage: Eukaryota; Metazoa; Chordata; Aves; Galliformes; Phasianidae.